UACGAAGGGGGCUAGCGUUGUUCGGAAUUACUGGGCGUAAAGCGUGCGCAGGCGGUCCGCAAAGUCUGAUGUGAAAGCCCCGGGCUCAACCUGGGAACUGCAUUGGAAACUAACGGGCUCGAGUGUGGCAGAGGGGGGUGGAAUUCCACGUGUAGCAGUGAAAUGCGUAGAGAUGUGGAGGAACACCGAUGGCGAAGGCAGCCCCCUGGGCUAACACUGACGCUCAGGCACGAAAGCGUGGGGAGCAAACAGG
This 253-nucleotide ribosomal RNA is filed under the name uncultured bacterium. RNAcentral's name for it is "partial 16S ribosomal RNA". It matches the Rfam family "Bacterial small subunit ribosomal RNA", at positions 524 to 776 of the family's 1533-position model. The record is from RNAcentral.